UCCCUCUCAGGAUGGCACCUGGGGAGUUGCCAGUACUCUACCAGUCUCAACUCUGGGAGGGAGAGUCAAGCAGAGGCCUACCCGUUCCAUUCCUAGCUUGGCCAGCGGCUAGAGAGUGGAAGGCAAUCUGCUGCACGU
This 138-nucleotide small nucleolar RNA is filed under the name Ornithorhynchus anatinus (platypus). Lineage: Eukaryota; Metazoa; Chordata; Mammalia; Monotremata; Ornithorhynchidae. The record is from RNAcentral.